Molecule: transfer RNA, 73 nt
Filed under: Phytophthora infestans T30-4
Lineage: Eukaryota; Oomycota; Peronosporomycetes; Peronosporales; Peronosporaceae
Rfam family: tRNA
About the family: Transfer RNA (tRNA) molecules are approximately 80 nucleotides in length. Their secondary structure includes four short double-helical elements and three loops (D, anti-codon, and T loops). Further hydrogen bonds mediate the characteristic L-shaped molecular structure. tRNAs have two regions of fundamental functional importance: the anti-codon, which is responsible for specific mRNA codon recognition, and the 3' end, to which the tRNAs corresponding amino acid is attached (by aminoacyl-tRNA synthetases). tRNAs cope with the degeneracy of the genetic code in two manners: having more than one tRNA (with a specific anti-codon) for a particular amino acid; and 'wobble' base-pairing, i.e. permitting non-standard base-pairing at the 3rd anti-codon position.
Source: Rfam by way of RNAcentral
GGGGAUGUAGCUCAAUGGUAGAGCGCUCGCUUAGCAUGCGAGAGGAACUUCGAUAAGAGACCCUGCUUCUCCU